This is a non-coding RNA of Saimiri boliviensis boliviensis (Bolivian squirrel monkey), 1441 nucleotides long. The record is from RefSeq and is a predicted model, not a curated record. Lineage: Eukaryota; Metazoa; Chordata; Mammalia; Primates; Cebidae.
AUGUGGAGAGCCUCCGCGCUCCCGAAGGGGACGUGCGUGCUGGAACCUGUCGGAGCUGCACGGCUUCCUCACCUGCUCACCUGCUUGUCGCUGGAGUCGGGACAGGAGCACAGGGAAGCACGUGUCUGGACGGCAGAAGCCCUGUGCCACCAGAGGGCUCUGCGCCACCGUCCUGGUUUCAGCGAAGAUGCAGACUCCAGCAAGCACCGCGGCUGCUUGGAAAUGUUUUCCAAACCACAGGCUCUUGAGAACCAAGCCGUUCCUACGCUUCCGAUUCAAAACGGUUGGCAUGCCGUGCCAAGGCGGGGCUGGGGACGCCGGUCACUGUCAAAGGGAGGUGCUCUGGCUGGCAGCCGUGUCCAGGAGGACGAGGAGGCUGUGCAGGUGCCCGCUGGGGAGGCUAGCCAGACAUCCAGUGCUGUGGGCGCAGCUGGCAUUGGGCUCAUGGCGCCCUCGGGGAAGACACACAGCUCUUCCCAUGCUGUUUCGCUUCUGCCUCAGCGAUGGUCCAGCUGUAGCCACCGCACAGUGUGCAAGUGACCACUGCUGCGGGGUCAGGCCCAUCUGCCCUCCGCCUCCCAGCAGCACACGCCACCUCUGAGACACACCAGCUCCCUGCCUCCAAGCCUGGUGCCACAGGCCUGUCGUGAGGGACCCCCGCUUCCGAGAGCUCCUGGGGGGUUCUGCCCUUCACCACCUGGGAGAGGUGUCAGUUCAGUUCUGGGUUGAACAAGGCCCAUGCACACAGCAUGUUGGGGACCCAGCCCAAAGUUCUUGUCACCUCCUCAUGCAAAGCCAGCAAUCACUCUGGCCAGAGCCCCCAAACCUCAAGGUGGCCCCUUGGCCAGCCCCUCCUUGGGCCUCCAGGAGGACUGAGGACCCCUCCCAGCGGCUGCCCGUUGCCCUCCACAGGGCUGGCUGCCAGGGGCAUGUCACUCUGUGCCGUGGACUGAGACCAGCUCCUGGUGACAGAAUGACCUGUGUGUUGAAGAUGCCUCGCCGUCAGAGAAACUCCCCAGGCAUCUCGGAACGAAACUAUUUAGUUCCAUUGUGAACUGGCCACAGGACAGCUUUUUAUCAACUUAUUAAGUUGGAGCAGUAUAAUAGCUCUUGCUGAUUUAGCAAUGGUAUAAGUGUGUGUUAAACACAUAAUGUUAUGUUUUAGGAGGAGGAGGUUGUAAGAAGGGUCAUGCCGUUCAUGACUUUUCUGUUAGUUGGGUAAGUGGCCUCAUGUCUGUGUCCGUCUGGACACAGAGCCCUUGGGUUCUGUUUUUCCUUACCAGGUGAACGUGUGUGGCAUGCACUGCUGUUUGCGCCCGCUCUGUGCUGCACGAGGUUCGCUCGUGCGGCGCCCGGAUUUCUUCUGUGCACCGGGAACCUCCCUGCAUCUGUUUCUCUGUUCCUCUGUGGCUGACUCAAUAAACUUUUCCCUCUGACGUGA